ACUCACGCACGCACACCGCCGUACACAGCACAAUCGUUCACCGUCCCGCCAAAGGCUCGUCUCUCGGGUUCUGCCUAGUGGAAGGAGUCGGACAACGCCGCACGUCACGGGCGUUUCGGAUUUCUUGCUUCCCAAAGGUUUGACGGCGGCCACCGGCGCCCCGGCCCAGCUCUGCUUUCCUUUGCUGACUCCUUCCUUUAGCUGUCUACCACCACUGCUGCGCUUGUGGAUGACUGCAGGAACACCGGGUACUUGCCACAAGUAUCUCUCCAGAUUCAUCAGCCUUUCACCUGUGACAAGCUCAGUCAAGAAGUGGCUCCUAAGUAAAAGCUGGGGAAGAACAAGGAAGAUAGAGCUC
RNAcentral lists this long non-coding RNA (358 nucleotides) under Homo sapiens (human). Its description in RNAcentral is "FHIP1A divergent transcript (FHIP1A-DT)". Lineage: Eukaryota; Metazoa; Chordata; Mammalia; Primates; Hominidae. The record is from RNAcentral.